GACGAACGCUGGCGGCGUGCUUAACACAUGCAAGUCGAACGGAAAGGCCCCUUCGGGGGUACUCGAGUGGCGAACAGGUGGGUAACACGUGAGUAACCUGCCCUUGACCUCGGGAUAACUUCAGGAAACUGGGGCUAAUACCGGAUAGGAAUCCUUGCUGCAUGGUGGGGGUUGGAAAGCUUCGGCGGUUUUGGAUGGACUCGCGGCUUAUCAGCUUGUUGGUGGGGGAGUGGCUUACCAAGGCUUUGACGGGUAGCCGGCCUGAGAGGGCGACCGGCCACAUUGGGACUGAGAUACGGCCCAGACUCCUACGGGAGGCAGCAGUGGGGAAGAUUGCACAAUGGGCGGAAGCCUGAUGCAGCAACGCCGCGUGCGGGAUGACGGCCUUCGGGUUGUAAACCGCUUUCAGCAGGGGCGAAGCUUGUGGUGACGGUACCUGCAGAAGAAGCACCGGCUAACUACGUG
Molecule: ribosomal RNA, 465 nt
Filed under: uncultured bacterium
Lineage: Bacteria
Description: partial 16S ribosomal RNA
Rfam family: Bacterial small subunit ribosomal RNA
Source: RNAcentral